GGUGAAAUUGUGGAGGCUUCACAUGCCAGGCUGAGAAGUUUGGAUUCUCCACUGAAGGAUUUUGAGCAGAGGAAUGACCGGUUUGGUGGGUCCCCUUGGAAGACCCAUUUGGACAAGGCUCAGGACCUCUGGUGAUCUCUGAGUUCCAAGGACCUCGGGGGGCCCAAUGUUUCUGCACAGAUGACUUCCCAUGCAGCAGUGAAAAGACAACUCAGGAGUCCUGCACAGAACUGAGCCGACACUGGGCAUUCGAGUAGACGCUGUGACUACAAAUACACAGGCAAUUAGGAUGAGGUUGGUGGACUCUCACCCUCCUUUCUGCUGCGCUCUUCUAGUGGCACUGCCCCGUCCCAGGACACUUGGCCAGCCUCCGGGAAAUAGCCUUCGGGGAGGUGAUCCACUACGGCAUGGCCAGCUGGUCUACUGGAGCAUUGAACCUUGGUCAAGACUGGUUUUGUUGGUCCCUCACCCAGACCAAGCAGGUUAGUGGCUCAAUGGCUUCAAAGCCACCUUACCUAAGAGGAGAAGAAUAAACCUCCAGACUCCGAUGUCUCUCGGUCUCCCAGAUUGCGGAUUAGUGCCUGGAAGACUUGAAUGGCCCAUCUGGUCACACUGGAGCCUCUUCACCCAUGGUGAGCACGAUCCCUUUUGGUUCCUUGGAAUGAAUUACUGGCUCGAGGAGGGAGAGGGGAGAACCCCAGAGGAGACAAGAGUCCCCCAAGCUUGCCUUCCCUUCGUGCACCAACGUAGCCCUCUUCUCCUGUACCAGCUGGGAGUGCCAUCAGGACCUCUCACUGAAAGGACUUUGUAAGGACAGGCAUUCUCGAGGUCGUCUGUCUCCCUUUCUCGUUUUCAGCCCUGAAAGCCCCUCUACCUUCCUCCCUUGGCAGAGGAAAUGGGUUCGCUCGUUCCGAGUGGGGCAUUUGUGCCUUGGGCCGCAGCUCCUGAGGCCUUGGGAUUCAGGCCUCAACUGGGCAAGAAUAAGCAGAAACAGAGCAGUAGCACUGCCAGGGUUUCCCCUGGGCUGCCUGAGGGGGAGCGGGUUCGAGCAGCCCCUCAGCCCCACCUGGGUUAGUCUCUGACAGCACCCCGUUGGCGUUCCCGCUGAUUCCCCGUUUCAGGAAGGUUUGAGGCCACUCCAUGGGUGAGCUUCCUAGCUCACGGGGCGCCAUCUCUUCAGCCGCCACAGUUCAGGGGGGCACUGCUUAGGACAAGCGCAGACCCUGAAGUACAG
RNAcentral lists this long non-coding RNA (1234 nucleotides) under Monodelphis domestica (gray short-tailed opossum). RNAcentral's name for it is "lncRNA (ENSMODG00000041987.1)". Lineage: Eukaryota; Metazoa; Chordata; Mammalia; Didelphimorphia; Didelphidae. The record is from RNAcentral.